AAUUUGUUCUCAUUUCAGAUUUCAGAAAUUAAAAAGAAUUAUUCUUCAAAUAUUAUUUUUUUUUCAAAUUUCAAAUAUUGAAAAAUUUCAAGAAGUAAUCUUUAAUUGCACAGUAUGGCGCAUUAGAUUUGUAAAAUCUUUGAUCACAUUUAUUUAUUUGUUAUGCCGAAUCUAACAGUGUAUUUAGAUUUUUAAUUUUGGGUCCAGUUUUCAAAUUGGUCUACAUUAAGGUCCAAAGGGUCAAAAAUUAAACUUUGUUUGAUUUUAGCAAAAAUUGAAUAUAUGAGGUUCUAUGAUAUGCUGAAUCUAACCAUGUAUUUAGAUUUUUUAUUUGUGGGCCCCGCUAUCAAAUUGGUUCAUAUUGAGGUCAAAAGGGUCCAAAAUUAAACUUUGUUUGAUUUCAUCAAAAAUUGAAUUAUUGGGGUUCUUUGAUAUGCCAAAUCUAACCGUGUUUUUAGAUUUUUAAUUUGGGUCCCAUUUUUUAAAUUGGUCUUCAUUGAGGUCCAAAGGGUCCAAAAUUAAACUUAGUUUGAUUUUAACAAAAAUUGAAUUCUUGGGGUUCUUUGAUAUGCUGAAUCUAAACAUGUGUUUAGAUUUUUGAUUAUGGGCCCAGUUUUCAAGUUGGUCCAAGUUGGGGUCCAAAAUUAAACUUUUUUUGAUUUCAACAAAAAUUGAAUAUAUGGGGUUCUUUGAUAUGCUGAAUCUAACCAUGUAUUUAGAUUUUUUAUUUGUGAACCCGGUUAUCAAAUUGGUUCAUAUUAAGGUCAAAAGGGUCCAAAAUUAAACUUUGUUUGAUUUCAUCAAAAAUUGAAUUAUUGGGGUUCUUUGAUAUUCCAAAUCUAACCGUGUAUUUAGAUUUUUAAUUUUGGGUCCUGUUUUUUAAAUUGGUCUACAUUUAGGUCCAAAGGGUCCAAAAUUAAACUUAGUUUGAUUUUAACAAAAAUUGAUUUCUUGGGGUUCUUUGAUAUGCUGAAUCUAAACAUGUGUUUAGAUUUUUGAUUAUGGGCCCAGUUUUCAAGUUGGUCCAAGAUAGGGUCCAGUAUUUAAACUUUGUUUGAUUUCAACAAAAAUUGAAUAUAUGGGGUUCUUUGAUAUGCUGAAUCUAAACAUGUAUUUAGAUUUUUGAUUAUGGGCCCAGUUUUCAAGUUGGUCCAAAUUGGGGUCCAAAAUUAAACUUUGUUUGAUUUCAACAAAAAAUGAAUAUAUGAGGUUCUAUGAUAUGCUGAAUCUAACCAUGUAUUUAGAUUUUUUAUUUGUGGGCCCCGCUAUCAAAUUGGUUCAUAUUGAGGUCAAAAGGGUCCAAAGUUAAACUUUGUUUGAUUUCAUCAAAAAUUGAAUUAUUGGGGUUCUUUGAUAUUUCAAAUCUAACCGUGU
Molecule: long non-coding RNA, 1374 nt
Organism: Mytilus californianus (California mussel)
Lineage: Eukaryota; Metazoa; Mollusca; Bivalvia; Mytilida; Mytilidae
Exons: 3
Source: RefSeq, a predicted model, not a curated record